UUAAUAAUAAUGAUGAUAAAGAUGAGAUUGAGAUAUCUAGGACGUGGUAAUUAAAAACCAAAACCAUCCCUGUUGUUGUA
Molecule: long non-coding RNA, 80 nt
Organism: Octopus sinensis (East Asian common octopus)
Lineage: Eukaryota; Metazoa; Mollusca; Cephalopoda; Octopoda; Octopodidae
Exons: 4
Source: RefSeq, a predicted model, not a curated record